GACGAACGCUGGCGGCGUGCUUAACACAUGCAAGUCGAACGAAGAGCGAUGGAAGCUUGCUUCUAUCAAUCUUAGUGGCGAACGGGUGAGUAACGCGUAAUCAACCUGCCCUUCAGAGGGGGACAACAGUUGGAAACGACUGCUAAUACCGCAUACGAUCUAAUCUCGGCAUCGAGGAUAGAUGAAAGGUGGCCUCUACAUGUAAGCUAUCACUGAAGGAGGGGAUUGCGUCUGAUUAGCUAGCUGGAGGGGUAACGGCCCACCAAGGCGAUGGUCAGUAGCCGGUCUGAGAGGAUGAACGGCCACAUUGGGACUGAGACACGGCCCAGACUCCUACGGGAGGCAGCAGUGGGGAAACUUCCGCAAUGGACGAAAGUCUGACGGAGCAACGCCGCGUGGGUGAUGACGGCCUUCGGGUUGUAAAGCUCUGUUAAUCGGGACGAAAGGCCUUCUUGCGAAUAGUGAGAAGGAUUGACGGUACCGGAAUAGAAAGCCACGGCUAACUACGUG
This 510-nucleotide ribosomal RNA is filed under the name uncultured bacterium. RNAcentral describes it as "partial 16S ribosomal RNA". It matches the Rfam family "Bacterial small subunit ribosomal RNA", at positions 28 to 507 of the family's 1533-position model. The record is from RNAcentral.